Molecule: transfer RNA, 90 nt
Filed under: Bdellovibrionales bacterium
Lineage: Bacteria; Pseudomonadati; Bdellovibrionota; Bdellovibrionia; Bdellovibrionales
Also listed under: 1 other name
Description: tRNA-Ser
Rfam family: tRNA
About the family: Transfer RNA (tRNA) molecules are approximately 80 nucleotides in length. Their secondary structure includes four short double-helical elements and three loops (D, anti-codon, and T loops).
Source: RNAcentral
GGACAGGUGGCCGAGUGGUUUAAGGCGCACGCCUGGAACGCGUGUGUGGUCUAACCGCCACCGUGAGUUCGAAUCUCACCCUGUCCGCCA